GACGAACCGAGCGAACGUUGUUCGGAAUCACUGGGCUUAAAGGGCGCGUAGGCGGGUGCUCAAGUCCGGGGUGAAAUCCCACAGCUCAACUGUGGAACUGCCUCGGAUACUGGGUGUCUCGAGGGUGGCAGGGGUAUGCGGAACUAUUGGUGGAGCGGUGAAAUGCGUUGAUAUCAAUAGGAACUCCGGUGGCGAAGGCGGCAUACUGGUCCACUUCUGACGCUGAGGCGCGAAAGCCAGGGGAGCAAACGGG
RNAcentral lists this ribosomal RNA (253 nucleotides) under uncultured bacterium. Its description in RNAcentral is "partial 16S ribosomal RNA". It matches the Rfam family "Bacterial small subunit ribosomal RNA", at positions 524 to 776 of the family's 1533-position model. The record is from RNAcentral.